This 434-nucleotide ribosomal RNA is filed under the name uncultured bacterium. Its description in RNAcentral is "partial 16S ribosomal RNA". It matches the Rfam family "Bacterial small subunit ribosomal RNA", at positions 29 to 506 of the family's 1533-position model. The record is from RNAcentral.
AGCGAACGCUGGCGGCAGGCUUAACACAUGCAAGUCGAACGGGCAUCUUCGGAUGUCAGUGGCAGACGGGUGCGUAACACGUGGGAACGUACCCUUCGGUUCGGAAUAACUCAGGGAAACUUGAGCUAAUACCGGAUACGCCCUUUUGGGGAAAGGAUUACUGCCGAAGGAUCGGCCCGCGUCUGAUUAGCUUGUUGGUGGGGUAACGGCCUACCAAGGCGACGAUCAGUAGCUGGUCUGAGAGGAUGAUCAGCCACACUGGGACUGAGACACGGCCCAGCCCCCGACGGGGGGCAGGAGGGGGGAAUAUUGGAAAAUGGGCGCAAGCCUGAUCCAGCCAUGCCGGGGGAGUGAUGAAGGCCUUAGGGUUGUAAAGCUCUUUUGCCCGGGAGGAAAAUGACGGUACCGGAAGAAUAAGCCCCGGCUAACUUCGU